Molecule: ribosomal RNA, 467 nt
Filed under: uncultured bacterium
Lineage: Bacteria
Description: partial 16S ribosomal RNA
Rfam family: Bacterial small subunit ribosomal RNA
Source: RNAcentral
ACGAACGCUGGCGGCGUGCUUCACCCCUGCCAGUCGCACGGAAAGGCCCUGCUUUUGUGGGGUGCUCGAGUGGCAAACGGGUGAGUAACACGUGAGUAACCUGCCCUUGACUUUGGGAUAACUUCAGGAAACUGGGGCUAAUACCGGAUAGGAGCUCCUGCUGCAUGGUGGGGGUUGGAAAGUUUCGGCGGUUGGGGAUGGACUCGCGGCUUAUCAGCUUGUUGGUGGGGUAGUGGCUUACCAAGGCUUUGACGGGUAGCCGGCCUGAGAGGGUGACCGGCCACAUUGGGACUGAGAUACGGCCCAGACUCCUACGGGAGGCAGCAGUGGGGAAUAUUGCACAAUGGGCGGAAGCCUGAUGCAGCAACGCCGCGUGCGGGAUGACGGCCUUCGGGUUGUAAACCGCUUUCGCCUGUGACGAAGCGUGAGUGACGGUAAUGGGUAAAGAAGCACCGGCUAACUACGUG